GACGAACGCUGGCGGCGUGCUUAACACAUGCAAGUCGAACGAAGAGCGAUGGAAGCUUGCUUCUAUCAAUCUUAGUGGCGAACGGGUGAGUAACGCGUAAUCAACCUGCCCUUCAGAGGGGGACAACAGUUGGAAACGACUGCUCAUACCUCAUACGAUCUAAUCUCGGCAUCGAGGAUAGAUGAAAGGUGGCCUCUACAUGUAAGCUAUCACUGAAGGAGGGGAUUGCGCCUGAUUAGCUAGCUGGAGGGGUAAAGGCCCACCAAGGCGAUGAUUGGUAGCCGGGCUGAGGGGAUGAACGGCCACAAUGGGACUGAGACACGGCCCAGACUCCUACGGGAGGCAGCAGUGGGGAAUCUUCCGCAAUGGACGAAAGUCUGACGGAGCAACGCCGCGUGGGUGAUGACGGCCUUCGGGUUGUAAAGCUCUGUUAAUCGGGACGAAAGGCCUUCUUGCGAAUAGUGAGAAGGAUUGACGGUACCGGAAUAGAAAGCCACGGCUAACUACGUG
RNAcentral lists this ribosomal RNA (510 nucleotides) under uncultured bacterium. Its description in RNAcentral is "partial 16S ribosomal RNA". It matches the Rfam family "Bacterial small subunit ribosomal RNA", at positions 28 to 507 of the family's 1533-position model. The record is from RNAcentral.